This is a long non-coding RNA of Perca fluviatilis (European perch), 216 nucleotides long. RefSeq lists it as uncharacterized. The record is from RefSeq and is a predicted model, not a curated record. The transcript is spliced from 3 exons. NCBI's taxonomy places the organism in Eukaryota, Metazoa, Chordata, Actinopteri, Perciformes, Percidae.
UUCAACGAGUCUGAGGACAGACCAGACGCCAGAGGACUGCUGCUCAGCACCAAGCAGCUGAUCAUCGAUGUCAUCAGGACGCAGUCAGGUGACUCUCUGACAGACAUGCUGAGAACCUCUGUGUCACAUGACCAGGAAGUGUGUCAUGAUUGGCUGAUGCAGCGGCGAGCUCGGCAGGACGCCCGCACGCCUGACAAGAUGAAGAGGAACAAGUCG